UACGGAGGGGGCUAGCGUUGUUCGGAAUUACUGGGCGUAAAGCGCACGUAGGCGGCUUUGUAAGUUAGAGGUGAAAGCCCGGGGCUCAACUCCGGAAUUGCCUUUAAGACUGCAUCGCUAGAAUUGUGGAGAGGUAAGUGGAAUUCCGAGUGUAGAGGUGAAAUUCGUAGAUAUUCGGAAGAACACCAGUGGCGAAGGCGACUUACUGGACAGUAACUGACGCUGAGGAGCGAAAGCGUGGGGAGCGAACAGG
Molecule: ribosomal RNA, 253 nt
Filed under: uncultured bacterium
Lineage: Bacteria
Description: partial 16S ribosomal RNA
Rfam family: Bacterial small subunit ribosomal RNA
Source: RNAcentral